UUAGAAUUAAUAGUGCUGCUAUACAUAUAUAAUCCCUCAUUAUCUUGUAUCAUCAUGUUCAUAUUUACUGAAUAAAACUUCUCAGCAAGUAGUUACUGAGUAAGUUUUUUGAAGGAAGGAUACCAAAAAUCUCUGUAACCUUAUUUUCACCUAAUAAAUUAUUCAUUUGAAAUCUUGGGAAAAACUGAAUAAAAAAGAAUGAAGUAUACCUACAAGAUCUAGAAAAUAGCCUCAAAAUGUAUUAAGUAAUUAAUCCAUAAUGCCAGCCACUACCUAAAAAAAGGAUAAGGCCAAAGCUAAAAAAAAAAAAAAUCAAAAGCUAGUAUUAUUAUUAUUAUUAUUAUUAUUGUAUUUUUAGUAGAGACGGGUUUCUCCAUGUUGGUCAGGCUGGUCUCAAACUCCCGACCUUAGGUGAUCCAAUACUAAAAUACAAAAAAAUUAGCCAGGUGUCGUGGUGGGCACCUGUGAUCCCAGCUACUCGGGAGGCUGAGGCAGGGGACUCACUUGAACCCAGGAGGCGGAGGUUGCAGUGAGCCGAGAUUGCGCCACUGCACUCCAGCCUGGCGAGGGAGUGAGACUCCUUCUCAAAAAAAAAAAAAAUAAAAAGUGUCUUUACUGUGCCUUUUCUAUGUUUAGAUAGGUUAGAUACACAAAUACUUCCCACGGUGUUACAAUUGCCUACAGUAUUCAGGACAGUCACGUGCUGUGCAGAUCUGUAGCCUAGGAGCGAUGGGCUCUAGCAUAUAGCCUGAGAGUGUGGUAGGCUAUGCCGUCUAGGUCCAUCUAAGUCCACUCUGCAUUCACACAAGGACAACAGCAGCACAUGUUCUCAGAACAUAUCCUCAUUGUUCAACUGUGCAUGACUCUACAGUAUUAUCUUCUCCUGUGUUUUCCUUGUGAACCCUCAGCUGGUUAACAUGGAUCCCGAGCCCUGGGCCUUCCCCGGAACUUUCUAGCCUAGAUUUAGUUUGUCAGGUUUCAGAAAGAAUAAAAUUAUCUAAAAUUGAGGGAAAAAAAUUGGCAGGCAAUUUGGAAAAGACUCUCAGUUGGCCUGCCAACAACACUGGCAGAAGAAAUGUAGUCGAGUUAGAAUCCUUCCAGCAUGUUCCCUAGGGGAUGCUCACACAGGAACCACAGGUGAAAUAGGGAAGUCCCUGGCUCCUAAAGCCUAAGCAGGAACCAUAUACUCCACCACUCCCCUCCUGAAGUGAAAUUGAGUCCCAAACCAGGAGUAACAGGAGCACAAAGGUGACGGAGCUCAUACAAACUGAGAUGAAUUGCAGCUUCCAGGACGGAAAUGACUAGUAGCUUAUUAUUUGUCAUUGGCUCCAGAUAAAUCUUACAACCUGAUUAAAAGCAAAUGUAUUGACUUUUUUUUUUUUUUUUUUUGGCUAUGGCUAUUCUGACUAUUCUCUUUUACUGAAAAUGGUUUUUUUCUAAUUAGAUAGCAGCAGCCUGAAGGUAGGACCAUCUUAGUUUCUGUGUUCCUUAUAGAAUCUAGGAAAUUAUUUUGUACAUUGUAAGUAUUCAAUAAAGAUUGGAUUACUCAACUUGAAUAAAAA
Molecule: long non-coding RNA, 1562 nt
Filed under: Homo sapiens (human)
Lineage: Eukaryota; Metazoa; Chordata; Mammalia; Primates; Hominidae
Description: non-protein coding lnc-MYOM1-12:1
Source: RNAcentral